Long non-coding RNA from Nyctereutes procyonoides (raccoon dog), 2026 nucleotides. RefSeq lists it as uncharacterized. The transcript is spliced from 4 exons. Lineage: Eukaryota; Metazoa; Chordata; Mammalia; Carnivora; Canidae. The record is from RefSeq and is a predicted model, not a curated record.
ACGCGGCGCGGCGCGGGGCGGGGGCCGCCGGCCACGCCCCCUGGCAGGGCCCCCGCGCCUGGCCCCGGGCCCAUGCAAACCCGUGAUUUGCAUGCGCGGAGCUGGGGACCUGGGGAGGGGGCGGGCUGCGGCUGCGGCGGGUCCCCGACCCUGCGCAACACCUGUCCGCCCGCCCGGCCCGCAGCCCCUCCCUGCCGCGCCCGCAGCGACCCAGACGCCUGGGCCCGCUCGCCCUUGUUAGGAACCCGCGAUGGAUGAUCCGGCCGGGGCGAGCUGCUGUCUGGACAGGCUCCCAGAGGGUCCCAGGGAGUGGUGCCAAGGCAAAGGGACCACCUGUCUGUAAGCCCAGAAAGCCAGUUGCUGACAGGAGCCCAGGACCUUGCCAUCCUCUCCAGACAGGUGGGGAAAAUGAGGCUUUGAGAGUGGAACUUGCCGGUGUUGCACAGCCACUGGAGGACUUUUUCAGAGAGUAGCCAAAACCUCACUCCAGGAGACUGCAGUUCCCCAAACUGAUCAACUCUGACUCUACCCCAGGUCCUCCUGGUCUUCCUGGGGUGACAUCGGAUUCCCUUUGCUGCACCUCUUGGAAGUCACUAGCACCCUGGGCCCCAUUUCUAUUUGAGCAUGCACUCUGCUUCUUUUGCCUCAAAGGACAGAAGAAGGCUCUAGGAGUCUAGCCUCCCCUGUCAGACACAUUGCUGGACUGGGGAUGCACGGGGGAUGGGGAUGCUGGAUUGGUAUUGCACUAUCUCCCGUUCAGAGAAGGCACUUGGGGGAGGGAGGUGGGGGCCUCCCAGCCCCCCAACCCCCCUGGCCCUGCUCUCCGCCUCAGCAGAGAAGUGGCCUUUUUUGGCCGUGCGCCCUGUUGCUCAUUCACAUUUCCUGUCAUGUCAGCUGGAUUGAGUUGUCAGGGCUGGGAGAAGGGUGGGGAGCGAGGCGUCCUGGAAGGCCACCAAACAACAAGUCCCUUCUAGCUCCUUCUGUCUGCCAGAUGGGCUGUAGGGCCCAGAGCGUGGGGGUACGGGUGGGGGUCAGCUCCCUGCCUUGGGGCAACCACAGGGAGUGGAAUGGAUCCCAGCUCAGGCUUCCCAAAAGAGCAGAUGGAAGGAAAAGCAGAGGCCAAGAAGAACUUACAGGCCUCUUUUAAAAUCACACCUCAGAGGUAAUCUGAUGGCACCGCUGCCAGGAGGAGUAUUGCAGAAUGGGGGUGGAGGGAGUUAGUGUUGGGUGACAAAGUGAGAGGUGCUCUGGGAACCAGGACAAGGGAGUCAGGACCCUGAGCUCUUCCCUGCUCCUGAUAAUCCCAAUGCCGAGUCCCCAGCCCCCACACCCGCUCCACCCGGUACCCAGCCUUCGCUCACCUCUAGAGGGAGGAGUACACACAAAUGUACAGCCCACUUGGCACUUGAAGAUUCUGAAAAAUAGUAAUGAUACGGAUUUGAUUCUAAAACAGCAUAACAACUGACUUCCAGUGAGCUUUGUUGAUCUUGGGGACUGCAUUGGGCCCGGGUCUGGCCACUCUGAUCACACCUUCCGCAGAUCCCUGCCUCCGUCCUUUUCCAGACUCUCCAGGUCUACCUUAGACGAGGUGAGCCGCCAGGUCCGCCCGCUCGCUCAGGGCAAGUCUAAGGCCGGCGCGCCCUCUUGCGGUGAUGGGGGCGUGUGACCUCCGCUUGAGCAUCAUCCUUGCAACACGUGCCCAUCCAUGGCCGGGGACCUACACACAGGUGAGGGCCCCAGUUCCAGGCCAGUUGAAGACGCUGAAUCUUGGUUUCAGAGUGCUGUUGGGUCUUUGGUCCGUGAUCCCCGUGGAACCUCAGUUGGCCAGCCUUAGCCCAAUCAAUGCAAGGACAGGAGUCCCAGGCCUUGUCCGGUGGCCGUCCUGUCACUGGACAGCUCUGCUGGUUAAAAUGUCAUACCUCCCUGAGCGCCUGGGUGGCUCAGUGGUUGAGCGCCUUCGGCUCAGGUUGUGAUCCCGGGAUCCUGGGAUAAGGUGCUGCAUCAGGCUUCCUGGAGGGAGCCUGCC